This 244-nucleotide ribosomal RNA is filed under the name uncultured Eubacteriales bacterium. RNAcentral describes it as "uncultured Clostridiales bacterium partial 16S ribosomal RNA". It matches the Rfam family "Bacterial small subunit ribosomal RNA", at positions 796 to 1041 of the family's 1533-position model. Lineage: Bacteria; Bacillati; Bacillota; Clostridia; Eubacteriales. The record is from RNAcentral.
CACGCCGUAAACGAUGAAUGCUAGGUGUCGGGGGUCAAACCUCGGUGCCGAAGUUAACACAUUAAGCAUUCCGCCUGGGGAGUACGGUGGCAACACUGAAACUCAAAGGAAUUGACGGGGACCCGCACAAGCAGCGGAGCAUGUGGUUUAAUUCGAUGCAACGCGAAGAACCUUACCAGGGCUUGACAUAUAUGCGCUAGCACUAGAGAUAGUGGGUUCUCUUCGGAGACGCAUAUACAGGUGG